This is an RNA transcript of Mus musculus (house mouse), 4352 nucleotides long. It is a transcript of the gene named acyl-Coenzyme A dehydrogenase, short/branched chain, with no coding region annotated. The record is from RefSeq and is marked validated. The transcript is spliced from 11 exons. Lineage: Eukaryota; Metazoa; Chordata; Mammalia; Rodentia; Muridae.
UGGGCGGGGACUCAAAGGGGUGUGUGAGGGGCGGAUGCUCGGAGUGGGCAGGGCCCGAGCUUGCCAGGCCGAGGGAGUCUUGCGCAAGGGUUCGUGGAAAGCCUUGCGAGCUUAACAGGGCCACCCUGCCCGAAGCGAGGAUGGCGGUCUCUGCGCUCCAGCUGUGGCGUAUGGGCGGGCUGCUGAGAAGACGCUUCCCAACCUGCUUGUCUCCUUGGAAGAUUCCUCCUCGUGUCCUCAAAUCCUCACAACCGGAAGCUCUAGUCAGUCUGACAAACAAUGCAGUAGCCUUUGCACCUCUGCAGACACUUACUGAUGAGGAAAUUAUGAUGAAGCAGACAGUCAAAAAAUUUGCACAGGAGCACGUUGCUCCUCUGGUUUCCUCUAUGGAUGAGAACUCAAAAAUGGAGAAAUCGGUGAUCCAGGGAUUGUUCCAGCAAGGGCUGAUGGGCAUUGAAGUUGAAGCACAAUAUGGAGGGACAGAAGCUUCCUUUUUCUGCUCUGUCCUAGUGAUAGAGGAACUAGCUAAGGUGGAUGCUUCGGUGGCUCUCCUGUGUGACAUCCAGAACACAAUAAUUAACAACCUGUUUAGAAAACACGCUUCAGAAGAACAGAAGGCCACCUAUUUGCCAAAGCUGGUUACAGAAAAAUUAGGGAGCUUUUGCCUCUCUGAAGCUGGAGCCGGUAGCGACUCUUUCGCUAUGAAAACAAGAGCUGAUAAAAGUGGAAAUUACUACGUCCUCAAUGGGUCGAAGAUGUGGAUCAGCCAUGCCGAGCAUGCAGAGCUCUUCCUGGUCUUCGCCAAUGUGGACCCCAGCUCUGGCUACAGAGGCAUCACCUGCUUCUUAGUAGACCGAGAUACAGAAGGUUUCCAGAUAGGGAAACGAGAAAAUAAAAUGGGCAUCAGAGCUUCAUCCACCUGUCAGUUAACAUUUGAAAAUGUUAAGGUUCCAGAGACUAAUAUUUUGGGGAAAAUUGGGCAUGGUUAUAAGUAUGCCAUAGGAAGUCUUAAUGAAGGUAGAAUCGGAAUUGCUGCACAGAUGCUAGGACUGGCCCAAGGAUGUUUUGACUACACUAUUCCAUACAUUAAAGAAAGGAUGCAGUUUGGCAAACGAAUAUUUGAUUUUCAGGUGUAUAUAAUUAAACUCUGUUGUCUUGGACUUUUACCCUUCCUGUGUGUAAAGCCAUGGAGGGAGUUCCCCAAGGAUGUUCUAUUGGGAGGAGAAAUAGGUCUCAUGGGAUACGCUGUGGCCAUCUUAAUCUUUUCUAAGGGCAGAACCAUAGUCCUUGAGGCCAGCUGUUGUAUGUUUGGGAUGCCUUGUGGGCACUGGAGAGCUGUCUCCUCACCGACCUCAGAAGUCCAGUAUCCCCUAGGUUCAUGCCUCACUCUUCUGUGUGCAGGUUCAUAUGAUUUUAUCUGAAAUGCCUGACACUAGAAAUAUUUCAGGCUUCAGGUGUUUGCAGAGUUCAGAACAUUUUUGUGUACAUGUAAGAUAGCCUGGGGAUGUGAGGUAAAUCUAAAAAAAACUUCAUUUAUAUUCCUUAUAUGCCCUAUAUGUAGCUCUGAGGUAAUUUUAUAUAAUACUUUUAAUAAUUUUAUCUAUGAACCAAAAGGUCACGGGUUAAACUUUCUACUUGUGGCACCAUCUUGAUGCUUAAAAUGUUUCAGAUUUUGGAGCAUUUUGGGUUUCGGAUUUUCAGAUUAGGAAUGCUUGCCCAGUAGUAGCCGUAGCUCCUGCCAUCAUCUCCUUCCUAUACAGGAAAACUGGAGCACAUAGUAGGUGGGCUCCCAAAAUCAUGUAGUUGGUUUGUUUUUUCAUUUCAGUAUACUAGAGUCCUGUGUCAAAGCCAGCUUCCAGCAAGAAGGGCAGACAGUGAGACAGGUUAAAGGGGGCUUUUGAUUUUCCCUGUAAGCUAGGGAUCAGUCUCUCUUUAUAUAUGCUCAGGGUCAGGUAAACUACUAAGUAUAGCAAUGGUUGCGUUUUCAGAGACUGUUGGGAUGUCUUAUUUUUUGUUUUCAGGCAGAAAUUUAAUAUUAAGAAAUUCGGUCAUGCCAGGCAUGGUGGUAUAUGCCUUUAAUCACACCCCUCAGGAGGCAGAGGCAGGUGGAUCUCUGUGACUUUGAGGCCAGCCUGGUCUACAUAGGGCUCCAACACCAAGUGGCUCAGGUGGCCACCCAGCUGGAAGCCACACGGUUGCUAACAUACAACGCUGCUAGGCUCGUAGAAGCCGGAAGGCCAUUUAUAAAAGAAGCAUCUAUGGCCAAAUAUUAUGCAUCUGAGGUCGCUGGGCUAACAACAAGCAAGUGCAUCGAGUGGAUGGGAGGGGUCGGCUACACCAAAGAUUACCCUGUGGAGAAAUUCUUCCGAGAUGCCAAGAUCGGUACAAUAUAUGAAGGAGCUUCCAACAUCCAGCUGAACACCAUCGCCAAGCACAUCGAUGCAGAGUACUGAUGACUGUGGGAUGGGCCCUCUGCGUCACUGACAAACCAUUUCCAGCUGCUGUGCCUUAUUGAGCAGGGUCUAGAGCAGUGCAGGGCUUCCUUGGACUUCCCUUGUCCUGGUCUCAGGCCUGGAUUUUGUUCCUGUCUCUUUCCAAUCUACUCUAAGUCUAUUUCUAAGCUUCUGAACGCAUAUUUCUCAUCCUAGUUGCAGAGUAUACAAAAGUUUCACUCUAGCAGCAUUUGGGAAGAAGAAACCAUUUGAGGUAUUGGUAUUGCUGACAGAAAUAGUCACUUUAUAUUCCUACUAAAUCUUUGUACUGUGGUAUGAGCCAGAGGAGCGUUUGUUACACUUGGCAAUUUUUAUUCAAUACUUUAUAGAUUCAGUGGUAAGUGGCUAAACAAGGUAGAAGCUGAUAAAAUUUAUUUGGAAAAAUCUAGAAUCUUAGUUCUAAAUAUCAAAAAUAGUAGAAAAUAAAAAGUGUAGCUUGUAGGCCAUAUAAUUGACAAUAACAAAAAGUCCCAAAUGUUAUUUUAACCAACAAAAGGAGUAUGUUUGGCUGCUAUAAUUGAACUAUAUGAAAGAUGUAUUAUGUGGUGGCUUUUAGCAGCCCAUUUAAAAAACAUGUCCCUGUAUUAGUUUUCAACUAUAAAGUUUAAGUAAUUUGGCCUAAUCAUCUGAAAAUAAUUUAUUAGAUCAUGCACUAUUUUUUGGUAGUAUGAUUUAUUUCUGUAUUUUAAUUGAGUAUUUUCCCUCAAACUUGGUUAUUGGACUUUAUCCUAAAUAGUAAUUAAUUGAGAAAUUCAAUUUUGGUUUUCAAAAUUGAUUCUUAAGAGAAAUAUACCCCCAUAAGAAAAUAAUAUCACAAUCUCAUAAGGAUAGGGAAUGGAGACUUGGUAGUCUGAAAACAUACAUUCAGUAUAAAUAUAUGUAGUCAUUUAUAUAGUAUAUUAGAUAAUUUUAUAUUUGUGAAGACAAAGAUCUAUGUUUUACAAUGUAAAUGAAAAACAGGCAAAGCCUAAUCAGAUAUCCAGCUGGUGAAGCCAUUGAUCAGUGUUAGGGAUUUACAGUCGGGAGAAGACGCUCUAGUUGCAGACCCUGAGUCCCCUGGAGAGAGAAGUAGACAGUAGACAAACGAGUCGCACAUUUCCAGAGGAAACAUCACAAGUUAGAUGUGAAAAAUGCCCGAGGCUCACGCAGUUGCUGGAAAUAAUCGUUACUUCUAGAUAGAAAGUAUUUUGGUGCUUUUGCAAAAGGAUAAUGUUUAUUAAGAAACUUGACAUUUUCUAGGUAAUUUUGCUUUGCACAGUUAAUGUUUAUUGAGCUAAAUUAAUUUCCACAAUGCAAAUCAUAGUUAAAUAUGCAAGGUUGUAUAAAUACAGUUGAAAUAGGAAUUACAUUAAAACAGUAGGAAGAAAUAAAACAAAUUUAGACCUUGAAUCCAAAGAGAUAAGGUCUACUUGACUUUCAAAUGGGGGAAAUGAUGAAAGGCCUCACCCAGUCUCAGAACAGACAGAUGAGUGUGAUAAGAAAGGAAGGGGUGGAUGCAGACCCUGACAGGGCAGACACCUUCCACUCCUGUAAUAAUGGGAAAGAGCAGGGCUUAGAGAUGAUGCAGCCGCGGGAGUCAGGAUGAGUAAACAGCCUGCCCUCCUUUCCUAGACUCAUGGCAAUCCUCCUGCUUCAUGUGUAACCUGGGCUGGCCGCAGAUUCAUGGCAAUCCUGCUUUCAGGCUUCCAGUGCUGAGAUUUUAUGUCUGCACCCCAGCUCCCAUUUCUGACUUGUUGAUUUUGAAGUCAUGCCCACGAUUACAGCUUUGUCAAUUAUUCUCAUUUAUUUCUAUUUGUUUUGCUCUAUGUAGUUCCCAGUUAUGUUUUUAGGGGUAAUAAAGUUCAUGGCUGUUGGAUCAUC